GACGAACGCUGGCGGCGUGCUUAACACAUGCAAGUCGAACGGAAAGGCCCUGCUUUUGUGGGGUGCUCGAGUGGCGAACGGGUGAGUAACACGUGAGUAACCUGCCCUUGACUUUGGGAUAACUUCAGGAAACUGGGGCUAAUACCGGAUAGGAGCUCCUGCUGCAGUGAGGGGGUUGGAAAUUUGCGGCGGGUGGGGAUGGACUCGCGGCUUAUCAGCUUGUUGGUGGGGUAGUGGCUUACCAAGGCUUUGACGGGUAGCCGGCAUGAGAGGGUGACCGGCCACAUUGGGCCUGAGAUACGGACCAGACUCCUACGGGAGGCAGAAGUGGGGAAUAUUGCACAAUGGGCGGAAGCCUGAUGAAGCAACGCCGCGUGCGGGAUGACGGCCUUCGGGUUGUAAACCGCUUUAGCCUGUGACGAAGCGUGAGUGACGGUAAUGGGUAAAGAAGCACCGGCUAACUACGUG
RNAcentral lists this ribosomal RNA (468 nucleotides) under uncultured bacterium. Its description in RNAcentral is "partial 16S ribosomal RNA". It matches the Rfam family "Bacterial small subunit ribosomal RNA", at positions 28 to 507 of the family's 1533-position model. The record is from RNAcentral.